AGAGUUUGAUCAUGGCUCAGAUUGAACGCUGGCGGCAGGCCUAACACAUGCAAGUCGAGCGGUAGCACAGAGAGCUUGCUCUCGGGUGACGAGCGGCGGACGGGUGAGUAAUGUCUGGGAAACUGCCUGAUGGAGGGGGAUAACUACUGGAAACGGUAGCUAAUACCGCAUAANGUCGCAAGACCAAAGUGGGGGACCUUCGGGCCUCAUGCCAUCAGAUGUGCCCAGAUGGGAUUAGCUAGUAGGUGGGGUAACGGCUCACCUAGGCGACGAUCCCUAGCUGGUCUGAGAGGAUGACCAGCCACACUGGAACUGAGACACGGUCCAGACUCCUACGGGAGGCAGCAGUGGGGAAUAUUGCACAAUGGGCGCAAGCCUGAUGCAGCCAUGCCGCGUGUGUGAAGAAGGCCUUCGGGUUGUAAAGCACUUUCAGCGGGGAGGAAGGCGUUAAGGUUAAUAACCUUGGCGAUUGACGUUACCCGCAGAAGAAGCACCGGCUAACUCCGUGCCAGCAGCCGCGGUAAUACGGAGGGUGCAAGCGUUAAUCGGAAUUACUGGGCGUAAAGCGCACGCAGGCGGUCUGUCAAGUCGGAUGUGAAAUCCCCGGGCUCAACCUGGGAACUGCAUUCGAAACUGGCAGGCUAGAGUCUUGUAGAGGGGGGUAGAAUUCCAGGUGUAGCGGUGAAAUGCGUAGAGAUCUGGAGGAAUACCGGUGGCGAAGGCGGCCCCCUGGACAAAGACUGACGCUCAGGUGCGAAAGCGUGGGGAGCAAACAGGAUUAGAUACCCUGGUAGUCCACGCCGUAAACGAUGUCGAUUUGGAGGUUGUGCCCUUGAGGCGUGGCUUCCGGAGCUAACGCGUUAAAUCGACCGCCUGGGGAGUACGGCCGCAAGGUUAAAACUCAAAUGAAUUGACGGGGGCCCGCACAAGCGGUGGAGCAUGUGGUUUAAUUCGAUGCAACGCGAAGAACCUUACCUGGUCUUGACAUCCACAGAACUUUCCAGAGAUGGAUUGGUGCCUUCGGGAACUGUGAGACAGGUGCUGCAUGGCUGUCGUCAGCUCGUGUUGUGAAAUGUUGGGUUAAGUCCCGCAACGAGCGCAACCCUUAUCCUUUGUUGCCAGCGGUCCGGCCGGGAACUCAAAGGAGACUGCCAGUGAUAAACUGGAGGAAGGUGGGGAUGACGUCAAGUCAUCAUGGCCCUUACGACCAGGGCUACACACGUGCUACAAUGGCAUAUACAAAGAGAAGCGACCUCGCGAGAGCAAGCGGACCUCAUAAAGUAUGUCGUAGUCCGGAUUGGAGUCUGCAACUCGACUCCAUGAAGUCGGAAUCGCUAGUAAUCGUAGAUCAGAAUGCUACGGUGAAUACGUUCCCGGGCCUUGUACACACCGCCCGUCACACCAUGGGAGUGGGUUGCAAAAGAAGUAGGUAGCUUAACCUUCGGGAGGGCGCUUACCACUUUGUGAUUCAUGACUGGGGUGAAGUCGUAACAAGGUAACCGUAGGGGAACCUGCGGUUG
Molecule: ribosomal RNA, 1520 nt
Filed under: Klebsiella pneumoniae
Lineage: Bacteria; Pseudomonadati; Pseudomonadota; Gammaproteobacteria; Enterobacterales; Enterobacteriaceae
Description: bacterial SSU rRNA
Rfam family: Bacterial small subunit ribosomal RNA
Source: RNAcentral